Molecule: ribosomal RNA, 471 nt
Filed under: uncultured Alphaproteobacteria bacterium
Lineage: Bacteria; Pseudomonadati; Pseudomonadota; Alphaproteobacteria
Description: bacterial SSU rRNA
Rfam family: Bacterial small subunit ribosomal RNA
Source: RNAcentral
GAGUUUGAUCGUGGCUCAGAACGAACGCUGGCGGCAGGCUUAACACAUGCAAGUCGAACGGUUGUAGCAAUACAGCAGUGGCAGACGGGUGAGUAACACGUGGGAACCUUCCUAGGGGUACGGAACAACUCAGGGAAACUUGAGCUAAUACCGUAUACGUCCGUAAGGAGAAAGAUUUAUCGCCCUUAGACGGGCCCGCGUCGGAUUAGCUAGUUGGUGGGGUAACGGCCUACCAAGGCGACGAUCCGUAGCUGAUCUUAGAGGAUGAUCAGCCACACUGGGACUGAGACACGGCCCAGACUCCUACGGGAGGCAGCAGUGGGGAAUCUUGGACAAUGGGCGCAAGCCUGAUCCAGCCAUGCCGCGUGAGUGAAGAAGGUCUUCGGAUUGUAAAGCUCUUUUACCAGGGACGAUAAUGACGGUACCUGGAGAAUAAGCCCCGGCAAACUUCGUGCCAGCAACCGCUGUAAC